GAUUAUGACCCCGCGACCCCAAUCUACGUGGCGAUCCGCAAUUCGCUACUUCAUACUGACUGGCGUCCGGCAUCGUCCCGAAUUUGGCCGCAAUCUGCUCUCGGGACCCUGUAGGGCUCCCUGACCUGCUCCAUCUCCGCCAUCGUCAAUGUACUGCGCAUCCACCCAGGCCAGGACUGCACUUACUUACGGGAAGGAGUAUUUGCAAGAUGGAACCUGGGAACUGGAAGACGACGAAGAAGAAGCGUGGGAAUCCGGCAGCAAUGGCUGGGAUGUAAGUCCAACAUUGCUGGUGCUAGAGUUGCCACUGCUUGCUUAUAAGGGAAUCAUGUGUGUUGCCCUUUUUUGCCUUUUCCGACGUCCUCCUCCGACUGUACUCCCAGGACUGAACUUACGGGAAGGAGUGCUUCCAAGAUGGGAGACGAAGAAGAAGAAGCCGCUGAAUCCGGCGGCAAUGGCUGGGAUGCUGCGUUCUCGAGAAGAAGCGUUAUUUCUGCAUUCCAAGAAGGACGACACAAUGGUGAGUGGAACUUCGUGGGUGUGCAGCCUUGCUAGUUGAGUUGUAAAUCAAUCAUUCUUCCUGUCUCUGACUUCUUCAAUGUCCUCCUCAGUGUCGGACUGUCCGCGUCGCAUUGAAUUGGUCCGAUGAGGCUGCUAUUGCACACACAGUGAGGGAACUCCCAUACGGGAACUCGGAAGUACUGCUACAGUACAGGUAUAUCAUCCCGUGACGACCACAUUGAAGUCUGAAUUUGAAGUGUGAAGAUGCUUCAGGAACCCCUUCAUUUUUUCCAUUGCUUUUAUUGUGCUGCUACUGUGCAUGUGAUGGCAACGUAUGCCGGUGACACGGUCAGAUUUUGUCCAUGCGUGUAACGUACACCUGCAUGCUAUCGUUGAAAAGGAUCUGCCACUUACGAUCUUCGGACGAGUAUCAGGUCAGCUUGGUUUUGUGUGGGCUGUACCAGAUGCUGUUCACUUCUCUAUCUGUUGGAUAUGUGACUUUCUGCAAGUUUCUGGUGUAUGGUGGCCACUUCUUUGCUUGUCUUUGUAUGACAUUACAAUCAUUCUGCACUCACUGCUUCCAUGGUGUGGUCUGCAAACUGCAAUCCUUACGCAAAUAUCAUCACGGUUUGCAAUGUUGUGCUUUGGCUGCCAGCUUACCUUUAUUUUGUUUCACAACUGACUUCCUGAAGUAUGGUGG
Molecule: long non-coding RNA, 1201 nt
Organism: Sycon ciliatum
Lineage: Eukaryota; Metazoa; Porifera; Calcarea; Leucosolenida; Sycettidae
Exons: 3
Source: RefSeq, a predicted model, not a curated record